Molecule: long non-coding RNA, 2429 nt
Organism: Gavialis gangeticus (Gharial)
Lineage: Eukaryota; Metazoa; Chordata; Crocodylia; Gavialidae
Exons: 4
Source: RefSeq, a predicted model, not a curated record
GGUAGGCGUGGUGAGGCUUCAUUCAACCUCUGAAAGGGGCCUCGGUCACCCCGGCGAAUAUCCCAGAACUUGCCUGCCAUGACUUUGAAUGUACCUUCAGUGUUGGGGUUCCCUGUUGGAGGUCCCUCGGGAUCAAACGCUCCUCCUGAUAGAUUUUUUGGGGGCUCCACCUCCCCUACACCUCUUCCAUGCACUAACCUCUGACGGGCCACCUGAUUUCAAUAUGGUUGGCCCUCCGGUCCUGAUGAUCUUUACUUCUCAUGCCCCUUUGGUAUCAGAUCCUAGUCUUUUCUUCUUUCCUGCGGGUCACAGGUCUGCUGUGGGUUCACCCCUUUGAGGGUGCCUCUCCUGCUGUGUGUCAGCUGCUUGUUGAUUCUCAUGGGCAGCCCAUGUAUCAGGGCGGCACCCUGAUCCCCUCACUAUAGGCAUACCAAUAAAAGAGAAAAUAAGGACAAAAUAGGAAAACCACAAAGGAAUACGCACAGGCAAGAAAGAUAUGAAACAGGAAUACACAAAGAAAAUAAGGCAGCUAAAGAAAAAGGGGAGAUCAAGCUAAACUGCCUUUGCUUCCAUCCUGCCUUAGAGCCUGUGUCUGCCUGUGUCUCCUGAUGCUGCUCCACUCUCAGCUUUCCCUGAGGGCUUCCUCUAUCCCUUCCCUGAUCAGCUCCUCUCCGGUGCUCUGGGGCUGUGGGUGUCUGGUGGGGAGAGCCUCUGUCAUCCCCUGUACUUCUGCCACUCUUCCUGGAGUGGAAUCUUCUCCUGCACGUUAGUGCUGCCCAUGACCGGCGUGGAGGAGUGUUAUAAUUGCUGCUGCCUGAGAUGCUUUUCCCUAGGCGGGGUCUUCCUUUGCACACUGGCGCUGCCUGCCGCCAGUGUGGAGAGCCUCUGCAGCCUCCACUGCUUCUCUCGCUCUCUGCUCCUGCUGGCUUGUGUCUACUUUUAUUCCAGCCAGCCAGCAAUCACUCAUGAUGUCACCUGCCAAUCCCAGCUGUAGAUAAGUGCGGCUGAUGAACCGCACAGGCUUCUCUCUUUGGCAUUGUUCGUCCUGUGUCUGGAUUCCUAAAGUGGUGAUUUUUUCCCUAUCUUCCAUCUGCUAAAAGGCAGAUGUGGGAUUUUAUCAGCACCUUAAUCAAGAAUACUUCACUGAAUGGGAUGCUUUAAAGCAAGGCUACUACUUGGUUUUUGUUUAGCAGCUUCAUGGAUAUGGGCAACAAUACUAUAACCCUGCCACCGAUUCCCUUCAGGGCUUGUUCCUCCAUUCAGCAUAAUUCAGUCAUGAUAGUAUCCAGCCAUCCAGUCAAUGGUCCUACAGCCAGUGCACAUCUCCAUUUUAACUUGUUUUUGAUGGAACUGUUGACACUGAUUGGUCUGCCAAGGUACACAAAAAUCUAUUUGUUCUAUGGCUUCAAAGAUGCUGCAUGUGAACACUUUGUCUGCUGCCCCUUUUCCAGCUAUAACUGCUUUGUUUCUUGACAUUUCAUGUCAGGCCACAUCAAGCACACUGAUAUUACAAGGUAGUAAAGGGUAUCAGAAUUAAUUCAAACAUGCUGGCCAGUGCUGAAAUAUACAUAUAACCAUAAAUUUCGAUGAUACAAUGUCAUGUUCUCCAACUUACUUGUAAUGUCCCAUUUAACCACAGGAUGACAAACUAUGAUACUCCAUGUCUCUUUCUCCUCCAUCAAACUUUAACUUGAAGCACUUGCUUAAUUUUCUAUUUAUUCUUGCAAAACCACAGAUAUUUGUAUACAUAGCUUUUAUUGUCACAGUAAUCUUAUUUGGAAUUGUCAUAUCACUUUGUUUCACUCCAGACUGAAUUAUAUGACCUUAUGCCGUAAAUUGCUUUUUUCACUUUUUCACAUUUACUUACAGCAUGAUUGUUUUUGGCAUGACAAACUUAUGCAUAGUUGGAUUAGCAGGAUCUCCUUUCUUCAAGAUGCCUGCGACUCUUGCCUUUAAUUUGUUAGCUGAUAUUUAUUCCCACAUCUUCUUGUAUAGUUUUUUCUGAUGCUUUGAUGACACUUGUCCUGCCAGUUUUUAAUAGCUAAAGCCUGGACACAUGACACUUGCUCUGAUGUAAAUUACACCAGGACCUGGAGUGGACAGACAGAAAGAUGUCCAGGAGUAGUUGCUCACAGUGGGUAGUAUUACAGUGCCUUGACACAGCCAAUACGGCUACAACCUGGAUAACUAACACAUGGAAGAUACUGAAUUUUAGCUGAUUUUUAAAAAAUGAAAUCUUCAUAAUUUCCCAAGCAGAAAACAUCUUUCACCAUCUGAGACCUGAGAUUCUGCUUCUGCCUUUGUCAAAGGUAAUUUGCAUCAUCACAGCCUCACAGGAGCGCUGAGAGACUCUUUACCAGCUAAGAACUGCCUGCCCAGAGGAGUUUUCCAUCUUUUGACUCCUCUGUGAAAUCCUAUGAAAUAUGAAC